This 8496-nucleotide long non-coding RNA is filed under the name Malus domestica (apple). RNAcentral's name for it is "long non-coding RNA (MDOM_LNC019743)". The record is from RNAcentral. Lineage: Eukaryota; Viridiplantae; Streptophyta; Magnoliopsida; Rosales; Rosaceae.
ACAAAGAAAGAAAGAACUCCAAACACUCCACUAAUGGCAGAUUGCAUGUGCAAGGUGUCUUCCUCCUUUGGAAUGCACGGCACUACUUCUUCCUCCUCCAAUGGUGGCUGCACAAGGUGGUGAUGGUGGUGGGAAGGCACGGCAAGGGUGGAUUGUGGCAGAAAUAUGGGAAUUUGGGGGUGGAAGGUUGCGGCAGGGAUGGAAUUAAGGUUUCUGGCGUGAAUGAAUGAUAUGGGGGGUGAUAGGGGCACGGCAAGGCUUGGGGAUGGUGUAUGGGUGUUGUGUGGAAGGUGUGGAGAUGAAGAAUGGUGGUAGAAAUCGGCUGGAAUGAAGGAAAGGUGCGGCAAGAUGGGAAAUAGGGUUUUGGACGAAUUUCUGAAUAUGGAGAGGGUGGUGUUCGGCCAAGGGAGGUAAAACACAUAUAUAUAGGCAGCCAAACCCUAAAGAAAUCAGGUUAGACAAAUGGGCUAGGGUUUAGGUGCGGCUAGGGUUAGGAAAUCCACCAAAAACUAGGGUUUCUAGAACAUUAGGUGCGGCAUGGGCUUAGGGUAAGUAAUCAGAUUUUUUUCAUGUGAACAAGGCCUAGGUGCGGAUGAUUAAGUGGGCUAGGGCUAGGGUUAGGUGCGGCAUAGGUCCAAGAGGCAAAGAUGGGUCAUCUAAAAGCCCAAAGCCGAGAAUAGAAACUCUCGAAAUUGGAAACCUCCAAGAAUAGAAACUUCCAACUUUAGAAACUUUGGUUUCCAAUUCCGAAAAACAGACCAAAACAGCAAGAAUCAAAACACAUUAAAACACACCAAAACAGCCUAAAAACACCUAAAAACAGCAAGAAACAACAUUGGAAAUUAUGAGUGAGAAAACCCUUCAAAUUUGCAUCAAAACACUUUGGUUAAUCCCCCACACUUAAACCAAACAUUGUCCUCAAUGUUUCAAGCAUAGACUCACACAAAAACACAUAAACAAACAAACCAAUACUAACAAAUUAAACAUGGCAGAAACGAAAGAAACAACAAAGAGAAGGGUUUAGAAACGCAAAUCUGGAAUUGGAGUGCUCUCUAGGUCUUCCUUUGUCAAAUGCAUGGGUUGCCUCCCACGAAGCGCUUGCUUUAACGUCUUCCAGCCGGACGGUACCUCCGUUUAAGCUUGACUAUGUGCCACGGCAUGGAAGGGUACCUCUUCCACGACAUGCUCCUCAAACAUCUCGUAAUAGGGCUUCAAUCGAUGCCCGUUCACCUUGAAUUCUUGCUGCGUCCUUGCACUCUUGAUUUGCACUGCACCAUGAGGGAAAACAUUAGUUACAAUAAAAGGACCAACCCAUUUGGAACGCAACUUACCUGGAAACAACCGAAGGCGAGAAUUGAACAACAACACUUUCUGCCCUAUAGAGAACGUCUUGGCACGAAUCAUCUUGUCAUGGAAUGCCUUCGUUUUCUCCUUGUAAAUCCGGGCAUUCUCAUAUGCUUCAUUUCGAAUUUCCUCAAGCUCACACAAUUGGAGCUUCCUAUGUAAACCUGCGGCAUCAAGGUCCAUGUUAAACGUUUUGACGGCCCAGUGUGCACGAUGCUCUAACUCGACGGGAAGAUGGCAUGGCUUCCCAUAGAUGAGCCGAAAAGGUGACAUCCCAAUGGGGGUUUUGUAGGCAGUGCGAUACGCCCACAAUGCAUCGUUUAAGCGCAAACUCCAAUCCUUCCUCGUAGGCCCCACGGUCUUCUCAAGAAUUUGCUUGAUUUCCCUAUUCGAAACCUUGGCUAGCCCGCUCGUCUGAGGAUGAUAAGGUGUGGCCACCUUAUGCGUGACAUUGUAUUUCUUGAGCAACGCCUCGAUGGUUCGAUUACAAAAAUGGGAACCUCCAUCACUGAUGAGCACGCGUGGCAUUCCGAACCUUGCAAAAAUGUUAGUUUUCACAAAAUCUGCAACCACUCGAGAAUCAUUAGUUCGGGUGGCUUUUGCUUCCACCCACUUCGACACAUAAUCCACAGCAAGUAAUAUAUAAAGAAAUCCAUGUGACGAAGGAAAGGGACCCAUAAAAUCAAUACCCCAAACAUCAAAUAUUUCAACACUAAAAAUGGGGGUUUGCGGCAUUUGUUGUUUAGGACCUAUAUUGCCCGUUCUUUGGCAUCUAUCACAAGACAUGCAAAAUGUUCUAGCAUCCCUAAAGAUGGUAGGCCAAUAGAAACCACAUUCUAAUACCUUAAGUGCUGUUCUAUUAGUGCCAAAGUGUCCCCCACAAGCAUAAGUGUGACAAAAUAUUAGAAUAGCAUUAAACUCAGAAUCGUGCACACACCUACGUAUAACUUGGUCAGGGCAAUAUUUCCAUAAAUACGGGUCAUCCCACACAUAAAACCGUGCCUCUUUCUUCAAUUUAUCACCUUGGUGUUUAAGUAAUUCACUAGGAACAUGUUUAGACACCAAAUAAUUCACCAAAUCAGCAUACCAUGGUUCACUUACCUUGAUGGACAUCAGUUGCUCAUCUGGGAAUGUCUCUAUGAUAGGCACGGCAUCCUCCUCAUGUACCAUACGGCUCAAGUGGUCAGCCACCACGUUUUCACUUCCCUUCUUGUCCCGGAUUUCGAUAUCGAACUCUUGGAGAAGAAGCAUCCAACGAAUGAGUCGUGGUUUGGCCUCCUUCUUGGUGAACAAAUACUUCAAUGCUGCAUGGUCAGUAUAAAUAAUAACUUUAGUACCAAGCAAAUAAGAACGGAAUUUAUCUAAAGCAAAUACAACAGCUAGAAGUUCUUUUUCAGUGGUGGAAUAAUUCAAUUGUGCAUCAUUUAAAGUCCGAGAGGCAUAACAGAUAGCAUGCGGCCUCUUGUCCUUCCUUUGCCCCAAAACAGCUCCUAAUGCAUAUCGGAAGCGUCGCACAUGAGCUCAAAAGGAAGGCUCCAAUCCGGUGGAACUAUGAUAGGGGCCGAAGUUAGCAUGUCCUUUAGGUGAUUGAACGCCUUCUCACACUCCUUGUUGAAGUCAAACGCCACAUCUUUCUGGAAGAGACGGCAAAGAGGGUUUGAGAUCUUGGAGAAGUCCUUGAUAAAUCGCCUAUAAAAUCCUGCAUGACCAAGAAACGAACGAACCUCUCGAACCGAAGUAGGAGAGGGUAAGUAGCGUACAAGAUCUAUUUUCGAUUUAUCCACUUCAAUUCCUCUUUCUGAAACAAUAUGCCCUAGAACUAUGCCUUGUCUAACCAUAAAGUGACAUUUUUCCCAAUUAAGCACUAGGUUAGUUUCUACACAUCGUUUCAAAAUUAUUGUGAGAUUGUCCAAACAUCCAUCAAAUGAAUCACCAAACACACUGAAAUCAUCCAUAAAUACCUCAAUAAUCUUUUCCACAAAAUCUGAAAAGAUACUUACCAUACACCUUUGAAAUGUGGCCGGAGCAUUGCAUAAACCAAAAGGCAUGCGACGAUAAGUAAAAGUACCAAAGGGGCAUGUGAAAGUUGUCUUUUCUUGGUCAUCCGGCGCUAUGACAAUCUGAUUAUAUCCAGAAUAACCAUCAAGGAAACAAUAAAAAGAAUGACCGGCUAAACCUUUCAAGCAUUUGAUCAAUGAACGGCAAAGGGAAGUGGUCCUUCCUUGUGGUGGCGUUGAGCUUCCUAUAAUCAAUGCACACUCGCCAACCUGUUUGGAUACGGGUUGGCACAAGCUCAUUCUCGGCAUUCUUCACCACGGUCACUCCGGACUUCUUUGGAACACAUUGCACCGGUGACACCCAACGACUAUCAGAGAUUGGAUAAAUCACUCCACAAUCAAGAAGUUUGAUAAUCUCCUUUUUCACAACUUCCAUCAUUGGAGGGUUGAGACGGCGCUGAGCCUCUCGAGUUGGUUUAGCCCCCUCCUCUAGAAGUAUGCGAUGCAUGCACGUAGUUGGGCUAAUUCCCCUAAUAUCGGCCAAAGUCCACCCAAUGGCCGUCUUGUGCUCUUUCAACACUCGGAUCAACUUCUCCUCCUCUAUGGCCGUGAGUGAUGAAGAGACAAUGACGGGCAAUGUCUCGUUGUCUCCCAGAAAAACGUACUUUAAAUGAUCGGGUAACGGUUUAAGCUCAAGUACGGGUGCCUGAAUCACUGAGGGUAACAUCUUAUUAGUGGAAACUGGAAUUGAAAUUGGGUUAGAAGGCUUACCAUGGUGUUGAGGGAGUGACUCAAGGGGCAGCCACUAUCUCGGCCUCAUCCUCACUUCUAGGCACGGCAACACCAUUUUUGUGCCCAAUUCCUUGUGCAAUUGUCGUUUCAAGUGUAUCCCUCUCCAAACAAUCGAGAAAAUCCUGCGUCAAAUCAUCAAUUAUAUCAAUAGAAAAGCAAGAAUGAUCGUCCUUAGGAAAUUUAAUACUUUCAGAAAGAUUAAAAUCAAUGACUUCCCCAUCAAAUUCCAUCGUUAAAGUUCCUUUAAACACAUCUAUCUUGGUGCGGGCUGUUUUCAUGAAGGGCCUCCCUAAUAGAAUCGGCAAUGGGGUAGAAUGGGGUGAAUCCUCCAUGUCAAGCACGUAAAAGUCCGCUGGAAAAAUCAAAUUUACCAACCUGCACCAAAACAUCUUCCAAAACACCCUUUGGGUAUGCAUUAGAACGAUCGGCUAAUUGAAUUAUCACACCAUCAUUUUUAAGCUCACCUAAGUUUCAUAGAUGCAUAAAUUGAGUAUGGCAUAGCAUUAAUCGAAGCCCCUAAGUCUAACAUGCAUUGUUCAAACUUAGUAUUACCAAUAACGCAUGGAAUUGUAAAAACUACCCGGAUCUUUGCAUUUAGGGGGUAAUUUCCUUUGUAACACAGCAGAGACGUUUUCACUUACCUGGACCACCUCUUUGUUCGAAAUCCUUCUCCUUGUUGUACAAAGUUCUUUUAAGAACUUAGCAUACCUCGGGACUUGCUUAAUCGCAUCAAGGAGCGGGAUAUUGACUUGAACUUUCCGAAAGGUCUCUAGAAUGUCCUUCUCGGCUUCUUCCUUCUUUGAUUGCCUAAACCUGCCAGGAAAGGGCACAUUCAGUGGAAUAGAACUAGAAAAAGUCGAAUUUGGACUUACCUUGGUGGUUGAGGACGAUUUAGGAGGGUUAAAGGGUGGCGGCAAGGUUUGGUCAUCCUUGGCCGUGGGCUCUGCUCCCUGUGCUUCUUCUUGCAGCAACUUGUCCUCCUCGUCUUGACUUGAUUUGGAUGUAUUUGAGUCCGUUCCAACCUGUUUACCACUUCUCAACAUGAUGGCCUUAGCGGUUUCAAAUCCUCCCUUCGGGUUCACAACGGUUGAACUAGGCAAUCUGCCUUGUUCUCUAAUUUGCCCCAUGAAUUCGGCAAUUUGACCCAUUUGCUUCUCCAAAUUAUCCACCCGUUUGUCUUGGAUUUGUCUCUCCUUAUUUUGAGUUUGUACUUCCUGCAUCAAAGUAGUAAGUAACUUAACAACUUGAUCAUUAUCCAAAGACGUACCUGAGGUUGGUGGGGCAGAUUGCACUUGGUUUUGAUUGGGGACGAAUGGCUUUGUAUAAAAGCCCGGUGGUUGCUGCCUAAAUCCUCCUUGUUGUUGGGGUUGUUGAGGAUCCCGCCAUUUGAAAUUCGGAUGGUCCCUCCACCCCGGAUUGUAGGAAUUAGAGUAUGGAUCAUGGCGUGGUUGAUUUUGGUUCCCAAAACCAACGGCAUUGGCAGCUUCCCAACCCCCAUUCUCAAUCAAUUGAGGGCAUUGAUCAUUGGCAUGUCCUUGCACCGAGCACACGCCACACACACUUGGUCCAUGAAUCUUCAUUCCCUCGGCUAACUGAGAAACAAUAGAAGUAAGGUUAGCUAAUUGGGAUUGAAUCUCGGGCAUAGAACUUACCUCAUUCACUUGUGGCCGUGGGGGGUCCCUUUGUCCAACACCUUCGUAUUGUUGUGCGUUAUGUGCUCGGUUGGCAAUUAGAACUUUUGCAGCCCCCGGAGUCUUAUCCACCAACGCUCCUCCCGCCGAGGCAUCAAGCAUUUUGGCGUUCCAUGGGAAGGGAGUCCUUCGUAGAAGUAUUGAAUGAGUAGCUCCUCCUUCAUUUGAUGCUGUGGACAAGAAGCAACAAGUGAUUUAAAACGUUCAUAAUAAGAAGGAAACGAUUCACCUGGGUUUUGUUGGAUGCCACUAAUCCGUUUCCUCAAGAGAAUGACUCUUGACGUUGGGAAAAACUUCUCCAAGAACGCUCUUUUUCAUACUAUCCCAAGAUGUAACCGUUCCGGGUGCUAACUCGUAAAGCCAAUCUUUCGCCUUUUCCAAAAGUGAGAAUGGAAAAGCCUUCAUCAUCAAAAUACUCCCGUCAACAUUGAUAGGUGUCAUGCUCGAACAAACAACCUCGAACUCCUUGAGAUGCUUGUUGGGAUCUUCCAUGGAAAGCCCAUGGUAUUUCGGAAUGUGGUGCAACAAGCUUGACUUCAACUCGAAUUCAUCGGUCUUGCCUUGGACAGCCGCGGGGUAUUGAAUGCAUAAUGGUGCGGCAUUGGUCAACCCCGAGGCCGAAAGCUCUUUAAUGGUCCGAUUGUCCACUGCCAUAACUUCUUCUUCCACUUCUUCAAACUCAGAUUCGGCCUCUGAACUUGAACUAGGUUCACUAGGUUCGGGAUGCCUCCUCUUUCUUCUCAAAUCACGUUCAAACUCGUCGUUGAAAUCCAAUAUGUGUGCGUGCACGGUUUGAGAGCUCCACGUCAUGCACUAGUACCUAAACCAAGAAAACAAAACAAAAUAAGAAACUAAGUAAUUUAUACUAAAACACACGGCAAUAACACAAGGGAUUAGCAAUUUUGCUAAUCCCCGGCAACGGCGCCAAAAUUUGAUGUGAAAAUUAUGUUGACACACAAAUUAAACCCUAUGGAUGACAAUUGUAGUAUAUGAGCAAAUAGGGAUCGUUCUAACCGGGGAUUAACUAGGGAUGCUAAUCAAUGUAAAACUGACUCAAGAACAUAAAAAAUAUAAUGUAGAACACUAAACUAGACUCAAUUAAUGCAAAACUAGGGUUUAAAACACCUAAACAAACUAAAAAACUCAAAACAGCAACUAAAAAGGCUCAAAACUGCCUUAAAACCACUUUCUGGGCAGUUUUUGAGUACCUAACACUAGUUUGGACGAAUUUGGACUAUGACUUGACUCAAAACACUUAAAAACACAACUAAAUGGAUUUCUAACUAAUCUAACACUUAAAAAAUAAAUGGGGGAAUGAUUUUGACGAAAUCGAAAUUAAAACAGAGACUUGUAAACAAACUUCAAAACAAAACAGAUUGUGAUGAAAUAGAAUGGUGAGAAGCUAGUUAGAGGGUUCCUUAUCCACACAUGAACAUAUGCAUACAACUCGAUCUCCAAUUACUCUUUCAACAAACCAUGAAUGACAAUGCCCCAAAUUAACUAGAUUGCACCAAUUAAUUCUCAGAUUUCCCUAGAUUCAUUGAAUUGAAUGGAAUACGAAUUACAACCAAAUUUAUUCUUAUCAAGGACCCUAACUAUGGAAUACGCAUGAUAGAGACACAUAUCAAAAAAGAUCAUUAAGUUUAAUGGAAAUCAUAAGCAUUGACGAGGCAUUCAUAACUAUGGGAUACGCAUGUUAUUCUUGCCUAGGAUUUACUUAACACAAUCGUGACUAGCGACUUUCACUACUUAUGAAUACAAGUUAAUAACGAUUAGGUGAAAUUCCCUUAUAUCCUAGCAUCAAGUUUAGGCAUGCAAAUUAAGUGUCGACCCUCAACCCACAUACAUAAACAAGUUAUCAAUCAAAUCGAUAAGUAAAUUCACAUUCACAAUUUCUGAAAUCAUAAUUGGAAGAAAUCAAAUCAUAUAAAACAUAUGUCCAUGGCUUCAAAUUCACCUCUAACUAUAAAGAAAUUAGUUCCACAUGUCUAACAUAAUUGAACAACAAUUUAAAUUAAACAUGAAAACAGAAACAAAGAAAGAAAGAACUCCAAACACUCCACUAAUGGCAGAUUGCAUGUGCAAGGUGUCUUCCUCCUUUGGAAUGCACGGCACUACUUCUUCCUCCUCCAAUGGUGGCUGCACAAGGUGGUGAUGGUGGUGGGAAGGCACGGCAAGGGUGGAUUGUGGCAGAAAUAUGGGGAAUUUGGGGUGGAAGGUUGCGGCAGGGAUGGAAUUAAGGUUUCUGGCGUGAAUGAAUGAUAUGGGGGGUGAUAGGGGCACGGCAAGGCUUGGGGAUGGUGUAUGGGUGUUGUGUGGAAGGUGUGGAGAUGAAGAAUUGGUGGUAGAAAUCGGCUGGAAUGAAGGAAAGGUGCGGCAAGAUGGGAAAUAGGGUUUUGGACGAAUUUCUGAAUAUGGAGAGGGUGGUGUUCGGCCAAGGGAGGUAAAACACAUAUAUAUAGGCAGCCAAACCCUAAAGAAAUCAGGUUAGACAAAUGGGCUAGGGUUUAGGUGCGGCUAGGGUUAGGAAAUCCACCAAAAACUAGGGUUUCUAGAACAUUAGGUGUGGCAUGGGCUUAGGGUAAGUAAUCAGAUUUUUUUCAUGUGAACAAGGCCUAGGUGCGGAUGAUUAAGUGGGCUAGGGUUAGGGUUAGGUGCGGCAUAGGUCCAAG